RNAcentral lists this ribosomal RNA (253 nucleotides) under uncultured bacterium. RNAcentral's name for it is "partial 16S ribosomal RNA". It matches the Rfam family "Bacterial small subunit ribosomal RNA", at positions 524 to 776 of the family's 1533-position model. The record is from RNAcentral.
UACAGGGGUCUCAAGCGUUGUUCGGAUUCAUUGGGCGUAAAGGGUGCGUAGGCGGCGCGGUAAGUCGGGUGUGAAAUCUCGGAGCUUAACCCCGAAACUGCAUUCGAUACUGCCGUGCUUGAGGACUGGAGAGGAGACUGGAAUUUACGGUGUAGCGGUGAAAUGCGUAGAUAUCGUAAGGAAGACCAGUGGCGAAGGCGGGGCUCUGGACAGUUCCUGACGCUGAGGCACGAAGGUCAGGGGAGCAAACGGG